RNAcentral lists this long non-coding RNA (486 nucleotides) under Oryza brachyantha (malo sina). Its description in RNAcentral is "long non-coding RNA (OBRA_LNC000564)". The record is from RNAcentral. Lineage: Eukaryota; Viridiplantae; Streptophyta; Magnoliopsida; Poales; Poaceae.
UUCACUCUAAUUUUGUCUAGUUGUGCUGAAUCCCACUGUCUAAUUCGAUCAGUUUCCAUAACGGAAGUGCUGCACACCGCUAUAUCGAUUGGACUAGGUGAACGGUAUCUACUAUAGUAUCCAUCAAUGGGCUGCCUAAAUAGGUCGUGGGAUGGAUCAAUCGGUCAGGGCAUUGUUCAGCCAUGAGCUUUUAUUUACCCCUUAAUUAGGUUGUAGUCUGGCGGUCUCACUCCAAUGAGUGUUCUUACAGUGUCCCGUGGAUAAAACCACUUCUCCUAUCGUGGAAACCACUCUUCUCUAAUAAGACCAAUGACCAUUUUACAUUUCAGCCCUCUUACUUUCUCCUCUCUCCCGUUUGCCUUCCCCUCUGCUACUCCCUCCCAUCCCCGUCGGUCAUUUCCCAGCCAAACUGACUUGCCAUCUAUGGGCCCCAUGUGUGGGUCCCACAGUCUAACACUCUCUCUCCUCCUCCCAGCGACCCCCNNN